AACAUGGAGAGGCUCAGUGACAGAGUGAGAAGCGUGGAGAAAGAGGAGCUUUUGCACUUUAGUAUUAGCUGAGGUAGUAACCUGGUGUUGAAUCUUCGGGGGGGGAAGGGCGUGACCCCAGCUAAACUGGGAGGGCCAGAUGGCUGGGAUUAUUCAUAUUGAUCAUAUGUUUUAGUGCUGGGAGGUUGAGCUUUGUUAUUCAAAUUAAAUUUGAACUUUAAAAAUAUUUACAUAUUGGAUGACAGAAAUGAUGUUCGACUUUCAGAUUUUUGAAGAUUUAAGGUAGGCAACCACUCCUCAUUUUUGUGUUACGUAAUCACCCUUGUUAUGGGACCUGCCACUAGGGGCAGAUUACCAUAAAUUAACUGAGCUAGCCGAAAUGGCUGAAACUAGUCCCCCUCCAAGCACGUCCCUCGCCCCUGCUAGGUGAAUAAAUAGCUUGCUUUGGAAAAUACCAUCAAAAUACCAUAUAUUAUGGUAUGAUGUAUGGACUGUAUGAUGGUAUGGGAAAUGAAAUCCAGUCACGCGUGCCAUAAUGACAUUUCAGGUAAAGACAGACUGCGUAUACGACGGUGGUCCAAUAAGAUUAUAACGGAGCUGAAAAAUUCCUAUCAUCUAUGAUGUCAUAGUGCAGUGAUUCACUCAUGUGUUUGUGGUGAUGCUGGUGUAAACAAACCUACUGUGCUGCCAGUUGUAUAAAGGUAUAGCACAUGCAGUAUUUUACAGCGCAUGAUACUUCAUAAUGAUAAUAAACAACUAUGUUACUGGUUUAUGUGCAUGACUGUACUGCGCCAGCAUAGUUAGAUGUAGCCUAAUCUGAAGGCAGCAUUUGAUGGCAUGAUGUCUGCGUUUUAAGCUAUUUUAUGCACGUGUCAGGGUCAGCGCCUGUCCAACCCUGCGCUUCGUGUCUCCUCCCCGUUUGGCCAGCAGGUGCUGCUGGCCAUCCUAUCCUCCACCCUGUCUCUUGUCCUUCAGUCCCAGUGUGCUAUCCCUAUUCACCGGCCUGCUGCAUGGCUCAAUGUGUUGUGUCUGUGGCUUAGGGACUGCAGUCCCCAGUCAUGGGUUUGAGGCUGGCUAAUGACCAGCUUCAUCUCUUUCUUUGUAUUUGAGUUUCUGUUCCCCAGUGUUUUGUUUCCUUUUGAGUUUCCCGUUUUAGGUUUGCACUCCUUGUGUUCUGUUCUAGUUUUAUGUUGCACUUUGUUUUCUUGUUUAUUUUCCUAGUGUAAUAUUUCCCUGUGUUUCUUUAGUUUCAGGUGUUUAGUUCCUUAGUUCUGUGUUCAUUAGUGUUAGUCGCGUCACCUGUGUCUUCUUGCCCUGUGCAGCUGUUGAUUGGUUGUUUUUGAGGAUUCACACCUGCCCUUUGUUAGUCUUAUUAUCAGUGUAUUUAUGUGCCUGCCUUUGUUAAUUUCCUAGUCAGUCAUUGUGCCCAUGUUACUGUGUAUUGUCUCUUCUUGGUUUUUUUUUUUUUAGUUCCUGCUCCCUUUGUUGCCUAGUUUCCUGUGUGAUUUAUGGUUCCCUGUUGUUAUUUUGCCAUUUAGUUCUGACUCCUUGUGGUCCCUUUAUUUUGGUGGUUUUCCUUUUGUUGUUUCUGUUAACUAAUAAAUUCCUUGUCUUGUGAGCCUCUAAGUGGAUCGUCACCUUUUCCCCGCCAUGCGGUAAGAGCAGCCGCUGCACUUAGUGGUUGCGGGUGUCAUGUUGGCCCCAGGCCAGCCCUGCCCGUCUUCGUCAUAAACAUGUCCUGAUGAAGUCCUUUCAUUAUCUUCUGAGGGCAGAAGAGUAACAUCUAUCAGUACGAUUGCUGCCCUGUCAGUUCCAGUCCAUCAGGUGGACCCCCACAGAAAGCUCCGGCUGUGGUGAACAUGAAUGCACGAGUGCCCCCUCCUCCAGUUUACCGCUCCAGGGGUUGUGUCUGUGCCUCUUUUCAGGAAAGCUGACGUUGGCUAGACACAGUGAGCAGGUAACAUGGCUUCCAGCGUCCCACAGCGUGCCGCCCUUGUGUCGGAAGGAGGUGCCGACAGCUCUGCUUCAGAUCGUACUCCGGAGCCAGGAAAAGCAGCGUGAUGUGGAAGGAUGGAAUGUGGGCCUGCUGCCUCGCUGGACGUCUGUGUGUCAUUUGCACACAGACGUAUCUCAUGGCGCCCCCUCCAGGGUGAUAUUCACACAGAUAGCCCCAGCCUCUUACUCUGCUUGGAUUUAGGCGCCUUGGUGAGAAGAGUCUGGAUACUCAGGGGAGUCAGAUGGGCAUGGAUGGCAGAUUCAGGGGGGGCAGAUUAUACAUGAAAUUGGGCAAGGGGACCCAAGUUGACGUUUUGUUAGGGGACCCAGAAUUUCUAGGUACCCCCCCACCAUCCUUGCCCUGCUGCAAAGGGCACAUGCAGUGGAGGCAGAUUCCCAGCAAACAUGCAGACUGUGCUUCUCUGAGGGCCCAGUCCAUAUUUUCAUGAAUGGAAGACCCCCCUCAUUGGUGCUGGUUUGUUGUGCCUCUGUUGCCGUUUCCUCCCCCCCUGCCACGCUUGCCUGUGUGUGGGAUGUGCUGAUGUGGGGGGCACAGUGUAACCCUCCCAUGUUCUCUAUACUGGGUCACACAUCCACAGAGAGCUGCUGAUCUUGGGUGGUUUUCUGGCCGGAAGCCCACUGGCUGUGCGUGUAUCCUUCAUCCUGUGGUCCCUGAAGCUUUAGGUGUAACACUGUAGUGAUCCCCCCCCCCCACAACCCAGCCAAUGAAAUGUCUUUGAGCUCCCCAUGCUAAAGGGAAGCAGAGGAGGGGUAAUGACAGUUAAUGUCCCGACCACUUAGUGGAUAUAAAUAGUGUAGGAGCCUGCUUUACACAUCACUGGCUUUCCCGCUCUGGCAUCAUGUUUCUCAGCGCAGAAAAUAGCAGGCACAAAAUGAAAAGGAAUUAAAGGGUUUUCCUUUUUCCGACAUGAGGGCAAUCUCAGCUCGGAGCUCGGCCCGGCUCUCCAGGGGUGCAGUAGGAACGUAAAUCUGCCCUGAGUCGCAGGGCUGAGAUGAUCAGCAACAGGGUAAUUGGUGGUGGGGGGGGGCGGGGUAUGAAGACAGCUAGUCUCUGGUCUGCUGUGGAUGUUACAGGUAAAAGCUCAUGGGAGACAAGAAGCACCCCCACGUGACCCCCUUGGUAUUACUGCAUGAGCUAUAUGAGAAAAACAGGUGUUUCCAUGGUGACGCCAAAGGCCCGGAACCGGUCCUUAGGUGCCGAGACUUCCUGUGGGGGGGUUGCCUCAGUGUCACCAGUUGAACACCCCCGGACCUUUAAUAAAGCGCGAGCGCGGCUCUGCAGGUAUGCUGGAGUCCUGGCUGUCCGCUUGCCGAUUUAAUGCUCCUGGUCUGCAGCGUGGAGUUCAUUGCCCCCCUCCUGUGGGGCCCUGGGGGGGGGGCUAAUAAGUCACAGAGCAGAAACCAGAGAAAACAUCAUUAAGCGAGGGAACAAUGGGCCCCUUUUACCCCCACAGAGCACAGGCCCCCGCUCAGGUGUCAUUUUGGGAGCCGCCUCAUCGCACACGUGAACGUAAUUUGCAUUUUGGACGUUCUGUACACAGGAUUUUUUUCCCCUCUGCGUUAAAUAUGUGUGUGUAAC
Non-coding RNA from Paramormyrops kingsleyae, 3595 nucleotides. NCBI's taxonomy places the organism in Eukaryota, Metazoa, Chordata, Actinopteri, Osteoglossiformes, Mormyridae. The record is from RefSeq and is a predicted model, not a curated record.